AGUGAACGCUGGCGGUAGACCUAACACAUGCAAGUCGAACGGCAGCACAGUAAGAGCUUGCUCUUACGGGUGGCGAGUGGCGGACGGGUGAGGAAUACAUCGGAAUCUACUUUUUCGUGGGGGAUAACGUAGGGAAACUUACGCUAAUACCGCAUACGACCUACGGGUGAAAGCAGGGGAUCUUCGGACCUUGCGCGAUUGAAUGAGCCGAUGUCGGAUUAGCUAGUUGGCGGGGUAAAGGCCCACCAAGGCGACGAUCCGUAGCUGGUCUGAGAGGAUGAUCAGCCACACUGGAACUGAGACACGGUCCAGACUCCUACGGGAGGCAGCAGUGGGGAAUAUUGGACAAUGGGCGCAAGCCUGAUCCAGCCAUACCGCGUGGGUGAAGAAGGCCUUCGGGUUGUAAAGCCCUUUUGUUGGGAAAGAAAAGCAGCAGGUUAAGACCCCGCUGUUCUGACGGUACCCAAAGAAUAAGCACCGGCUAACUUCGU
RNAcentral lists this ribosomal RNA (491 nucleotides) under uncultured bacterium. RNAcentral describes it as "partial 16S ribosomal RNA". It matches the Rfam family "Bacterial small subunit ribosomal RNA", at positions 29 to 506 of the family's 1533-position model. The record is from RNAcentral.